RNAcentral lists this ribosomal RNA (270 nucleotides) under uncultured archaeon. Its description in RNAcentral is "partial 16S ribosomal RNA". It matches the Rfam family "Archaeal small subunit ribosomal RNA", at positions 477 to 747 of the family's 1478-position model. The record is from RNAcentral.
CAGCACCUCAAGUGGUCAGGAUGAUUAUUGGGCCUAAAGCAUCCGUAGCCGGCGCUGUAAGUUUUCGGUUAAAUCUGUACGCUCAACGUGCAGGCUGCCGGGAAUACUGCAGCGCUAGGGAGUGGGAGAGGUAGACGGUACUCGGUAGGAAGGGGUAAAAUCCUUUGAUCUAUUGAUGACCACCUGUGGCGAAGGCGGUCUACCAGAACACGUCCGACGGUGAGGGAUGAAAGCUGGGGGAGCAAACCGGAUUAGAUACCCGUGUAGUCC